UUCACUGGCUUUUAGCAUAUUUGCAUAAUUGUAUAUCUAUCACCACAGUCAGUUUUAGAACAUUUUCAUCACCCUAAGAAGAAACUCCUUAGCUCAGGGGUCCCCAACUCCUGGGCCACAGACUCUGUAAUCCCAGUACUUUGGGAGGCCGAGGUGGGUGGAUCACGUGAGGUCAGGAGUUCAAGACCAGUCUGACCAAUAUGGUGAAACCCCAUCUCUACUAAAAAUAUGAAAAAAUUAGCUGGGCAUAGUGGCGUGUGCCUGUACUGCCAGCUACUUGGGUGGCUGAGACAGGAAAAUUGCUUGAACCCAGGAGGUGGAGGUUGCAGUGAGCCAAGACUGCGCCACUGCACUCUAGCCUGGGCAACAGAUCAAGACUCCAUCUCAAAAACAAAAACAAAAACAAAUUACAUAUGACUUACAUAAUUACUGUCAUCUAUAUUACUAUAUACUACAGUACUGCUGGACAGUGCUGUGACUAGAUUAAUUCCACAAGGAAAAGAGCCAUAGGAAUAUUGCU
RNAcentral lists this long non-coding RNA (520 nucleotides) under Homo sapiens (human). Its description in RNAcentral is "non-protein coding lnc-RPS24-11:1". The record is from RNAcentral. Lineage: Eukaryota; Metazoa; Chordata; Mammalia; Primates; Hominidae.